GGUACGAGGAGCGACCGGUACGGAUUCUUACUCGUGAGACGAAAGAAUUGCGCAACCGGAUCAUACCGUAUGUGAAAGUACAGUGAAGUAAUCACGAGGAGCUUGAGGCGACGUAGGAGCCGGAGGCUGUGAUGCGGGAGUCCUACCCUUACUUGCUUGAGCCUCUGGAUUGAGGUAUGAGUUUCGGUGACGAAAUUUUUUGUAAUGGGGGAGGAUGUAGUGUCUCUAGUAUUUAGUUGUUUAUGUGAUUUCAGUAUCUGUGGCUUGUCGG
RNAcentral lists this long non-coding RNA (271 nucleotides) under Ananas comosus (pineapple). Its description in RNAcentral is "long non-coding RNA (ACOM_LNC033394)". The record is from RNAcentral. Lineage: Eukaryota; Viridiplantae; Streptophyta; Magnoliopsida; Poales; Bromeliaceae.